ACUUACAUGGCUUCACUGCAUUCUCAGCUUUGUUACCUUAACUUAGAGAGAGUUCAUUGGAUUUUUCCAGGUUUUCAUCUCUCUGAUGCAGCCUAGAAAUUGCUUUCUAUUAGUAAGCCUGUACAACACUGGAGAGGCAAAUUUUUUUUAUUGUUGUUGUUGUUGUUUCUGAUACAGGUACAACUGAUUUAAUUCUACCCCAACCAUCAUGGUAGAAGGCAAUUUUAUUCACAGAAUAAGGUGACCGAAAGGAUCAAAGAACUUUCACAGUUGAAAUUUCAGAAUCAAUUGGGAAGAAGAAUCUUCUGAAACUUGCCAUGUAAGAAGUGACUUUCAACACCUGCCAGGAUUCUGAGUUCUCCCCAGCCAUGUGGAACUGAAAUUCCACUUAAAACUCUUUUUCUUCCCAGUCUCAGGUAUGUCUUUAUCAGCGGUGUGAAAACAGACUAAUACAGUAAAUUGAUACUGAGAGUGGGUAUUGCUGAAAGAUACUCAAAAAUGUGGAAGCAACUUUGGAACUGGGUAACAGGCAGAGAUUGGAAAGUUUGGAGGGCUCAGAAGAAGAGGGAAAAAUGUGGGAAAGUAUGAAACUUCAUAGAGACUUGUUGAAUGGCUUUGACAAAAAUGCUGAUAGUGAUAUGAACAAUAAGGUCCAGGCAGAAGUGGUCUCAGAUGGAGAUGAGAAAUUUGUUGGAAACUGGAGCAAAGGUGACUCUUGUUAUGUUUAGCAAAAAGACUGGUAGAAUUUUGCUCCUGCCCUAGAUAUUUGAGGAAUUUUGAAGUUGACAGAGAUGAUUUAGGGUAUCUGGCAGAAGAAAUGUCUAAGCAGCAAAGCAUUCAAAAGGUGACUUGGGUGCUGUUAAAAUCAUUACAUUUUAAAAGGGAAAAAGAGCACAAAAGCUCAGAAAAUUUGCAGCCUGAUGAUGCAGUAGAAAAAAAAAUUUUUUUGAGGAGAAAUUCAAGCCAGCUGGAGAAAUUUGCAUAAGUAGCAAGGGGCCCAAUGUUUAAUCCCCAAGACCAUGGGGAAAGUUUCUCCAGGCCAUGUCAGAGACCUUCAUGGCAGCCUCUCCCAUCACAUGCCUGGAGGCCCAGGAGGAAAGAGCGGUUUCAUGGGCCUGGCCCAGGGACUCCAUGCUGUGUGCAGCCUAGGGACUUGGUACCCUGUGUCCCAGCUGCUCCAGCCAUGGCUGAAAGAGGCCAACACAGAGCUUGGGAUUUGGCUUCAGAGGGUGGAAGUCCCAAGCCUUGGCAGCUUCCACAUGGUAUUGAGCCUGCAGGUGCACAGAAGUCAAGAAUUUAAGUUGGGCAACCUCCACCUAGAUUUCAGAAGAUGUAUGGAAAUGCCUAGAUGCCCAGGCAGUUUGCUGCAGGGGGAGGGCCCUCAUGGAGAACCUCUGCUAGGGCAGUGCAUGAGGAAAAUAUGAUGUUGGAGCCCCCACCCAGAGUCCCUACUGGGGAACUGCCUAGUGGAGCUAUGCUGUGAUAAGGGGGCCACCAUCCUCCAGAACCCAAAAUGACAGAUUCACUGACAGCUUGCACUGUGCACCUGAAAAAGCUGCAGAUACUCAAUGCCAGCCUUUGAAAGCAGCUGAGAGGGAGGCUGUACCCUGCAAAGCCACAGGAAUAGAGCUGCUCAAGACCAUGGGAACCCACCUCUUGUAUCAGCAUGACCUGGAUGUGAGACAUGGAGUCAAAGGAGACCAUUUUGGACAUUUUGGAGCUUUAAAAUUUGACUACACCACUGGAUUUCAGACUUGCAUGAGCCCUGUAACCCCUUUGUUUUCCCCAAUUUCUCCCAUUUGGAAUGGUUGUAUUUACCCAAUGUCUGUAACCCCAUUAUAUCUAGGAAGUAACUAGCUUGCUUUUGAUUUUACAGGCUUAUAGGCUGAAAGGACUUGCCUUGUCUCAGAUGAGACUUUGGACUGUGGACUUUCGGGUUAAUGCUGAAAUGAGUUAAGACUGUGGGGAACUGUUGGGAUGGUAUGAUUGGUUUUGAAAUUUGACAACAUGAGAUGUGGAGGGGCCAGGUGUGGAAUGAUAUGGUUUGGCUCUGUCCCCACACAAAUCUCAACUUGAAUUUUAUCUCCCAGAAUGUCCCUGUGUUGUGAGAGGGACGCAGGGGGAGGUAAUUGAAUCUUGGUGGUCAGUUUUUCCCGUGCUAUUCUUGUGAUAAUGAACAAGUCUCAUGAGAUCUGAUGAGUUUAUCAGGGGUUUCCGUUUUUACUUCUUCAUUUUCUUUUGCCACACCAUGUAAGAAGUGCAUUUUGCCUCUCACCAUAAUUCUGAGGCCUCCCCAGCCAUGUGGAAAUGUAAGUCCAAUUAAACCUCUUUUUCUUCCCAGUCUCAGCCAUUUCAAUUUGGUUAGAAGCCACCUCUGGGGAGCUAGUGCAAUAAGGAGAUUAAAACGUGUGUGAAGAGGAGGAAAAAGCUUUCCUUAGAUCUCAGAAGCCACUAAACCAACACUAAAACUAAACCUCAGUCAAUAGUUUACUUUUACAUUAAAAUGGGGAAUGAAGAACAAGGAAGAGGAAAACAGCAUUGACAACACAGAGGCCAAGAAAUGUCAAUAGGGCUUUUUGUUCUGAUAAAUAAUAUGAAGGUAUUAUUUUUAUUUCUUUGUAGAUAAUUAAAUUUUAUAAUUGAUCAAGAAAUAUCAUAUUCCCAUAUCUAUGUCCUAGAGAUAUGUAAAUGAGAAAUAAGUAUAUUUAGAGGGUGCUAAAAUCAUACAUAUUGAAAGCUGAGAAAGUAAAAAUUUUGUUACUGCUUCCUGUCCUCAUGUAUCUGCCUUUUGCCUAGAGUGCAGCUGUGCCUCUUGAAGAGUAAACAUCACAUUCACCUCAAAGAAUUUUCUGACAAUGCUUGUAGUCCCUAGGACAGAAUUUAUAUUUUUUCCUACU
Molecule: long non-coding RNA, 2897 nt
Organism: Symphalangus syndactylus (siamang)
Lineage: Eukaryota; Metazoa; Chordata; Mammalia; Primates; Hylobatidae
Source: RefSeq, a predicted model, not a curated record